This 350-nucleotide ribosomal RNA is filed under the name Sternhydrus atratus. RNAcentral describes it as "partial 12S ribosomal RNA". The record is from RNAcentral. Lineage: Eukaryota; Metazoa; Arthropoda; Insecta; Coleoptera; Dytiscidae.
UUAAAAUGUAAAAUUUAAUUCCAAAUUAGUAUUAGUUAUGAUCUUGAAAAUUAAAAAAUUUGGCGGUAUUUUAGUCUAUUCAGAGGAACCUGUUCUAUAAUUGAUAGUCCACGAUUAACUUUACUUGAUUUAUAAAUUUGUAUAUCGUCGUUUUAAUAAUUUUAUAAGAAGAUAAAUUUUUAAAAAUUUAAAAGUAAAAAAAUGUCAGAUCAAGGUGCAGUUGAUAAUUAAGAAGAAAUGGGUUACAAUAAAUUUAUUUAUAUGAAAUAGUAUAUGAAAAGUUAUUAUGAAGGUGGAUUUGAUAGUAAUAAAAUUUAAUUAAAUUUUAUGAUUUAAGCUCUAAAAUAUGU